AUGAUUGAGAAAGUUGUUCCUGCAAUAAAAGAUGUGUGGCCCUUUGGAGAUGUUGGACAAACAGUCCUCAUCCAACAGGACAAUGCAAGGACACAUAUUUUACCUAAUGAUGUUGAGUUUGCAGAAGCAAUGGCUGAGACCGGUAUGGACAUCAAACUAGUGCAACAACCCCCAAAUUCUCCUGACUUGAACGCUCUUGACCUUGGGUACUUCAAAUCCCUAGAGUCUCUAACGGACUGCAGAGCCCCUACCACCAUCCCCGAACUAACUCAAGGUGUAGAAGAAGAAUUCGAUGACUAUGAAGUUGGAAAACUCAACAGAAUCUUCCUAACACUCCAAACAUGUAUGGUUGAAGUCAUGAAUCAUGCAGGAGGAAAUGCUUACAAAAUUCCACACGUCACCAAACAAAGAUUUGAAAGAGAUGGAAUUCUACUUCCUAGGAUCCAUUUCCCAUGUGAAGUGUACUACAAUGCCUUAGAGAAUCUAGAACAAGAUGAACACUGA
Molecule: ribosomal RNA, 504 nt
Filed under: Triticum aestivum (bread wheat)
Lineage: Eukaryota; Viridiplantae; Streptophyta; Magnoliopsida; Poales; Poaceae
Description: partial small subunit ribosomal RNA
Source: RNAcentral